UAAACAGUAUUUUUCUGAAUAUCGCAAAAAUCAAAAUUGCAUUUUAGUCUAAAAUGACAAAAUUGCAUUAAUAAAUGCAUGCAUUAAUUUCUGAAAUUACAGUAUUUUGAUGAGUGGUUGAAUGUGUUAUAAUUCAUAUUUACUUAUUUGAAAGGUUAUUACACCAUAUUUUGCUAUUAGUUUUAAAAGUAGAUGAGUAAUAUGAUAUAAAUGGUCUCUAAGCAGGCAUCUCCAAAUAGAAUUUUUUAUCAUUGGAAGUCAUAUUUAUUGUGUGAAUCAGCUGAAAAAAAUAUUUAGCAUAUAAAAUAUAGGAUAUACCUAAAUGCAUUUUGUGUUCUGUCAUAUCCUAUAUUUUAUAAUGUUAAUGUAAUAAAAGAGUAAUUGUAGUAUCUAUUGUAUGUUAAAUCAAGAUGAAUAUAGAAAAAUAAUAUGGGAAAAUUGGUCAGUCAUAAAUCUGGAUAUCCCUAAAGGCUACUUUAUAAGUCAUCUUUAAAUUCAUAUCAGGUAUACCUGUAGAUUGUUUAAUUCAGUUCUAUCAUGAAAGCAUUGUGAACAAGUCUUUGUUUUGAAUUUUUCUUUUUUUAAAGAGUCAUUGAAUGUUAUACUUUGUACAUUUAUUGUUUUGUGUUACAGUAUUUUUCAGUUAUAAAGAUGUUUGGUAUUUAUUGUGUCACAUGACAAAGAAGAAGCUGUUGCAACAUGUGUAUUCAAUAUUUAAGUUGCUGUUAGUUAUUAUAGAAUAGGAUAUAAAUGUUUAAAUAAGCAGUAUUACUUGCAUUUGAAUCCUAGAUUUGUUUUUAUUUGCAAUGGUUUGUGUGUAUUUGUUUUAAUAUUCUGUGUUUA
RNAcentral lists this long non-coding RNA (843 nucleotides) under Mytilus galloprovincialis (Mediterranean mussel). Lineage: Eukaryota; Metazoa; Mollusca; Bivalvia; Mytilida; Mytilidae. The record is from RNAcentral.